GAUAAACGCUGGCGGCGUGCCUAAUACAUGCAAGUCGAGCGAACGGACGAGAAGCUUGCUUCUCUGAUGUUAGCGGCGGACGGGUGAGUAACACGUGGAUAACCUACCUAUAAGACUGGGAUAACUUCGGGAAACCGGAGCUAAUACCGGAUAAUAUUUUGAACCGCAUGGUUCAAAAGUGAAAGACGGUCUUGCUGUCACUUAUAGAUGGAUCCGCGCUGCAUUAGCUAGUUGGUAAGGUAACGGCUUACCAAGGCAACGAUGCAUAGCCGACCUGAGAGGGUGAUCGGCCACACUGGAACUGAGACACGGUCCAGACUCCUACGGGAGGCAGCAGUAGGGAAUCUUCCGCAAUGGGCGAAAGCCUGACGGAGCAACGCCGCGUGAGUGAUGAAGGUCUUCGGAUCGUAAAACUCUGUUAUUAGGGAAGAACAUAUGUGUAAGUAACUGUGCACAUCUUGACGGUACCUAAUCAGAAAGCCACGGCUAACUACGUGCCAGCAGCCGCGGUAAUACGUAGGUGGCAAGCGUUAUCCGGAAUUAUUGGGCGUAAAGCGCGCGUAGGCGGUUUUUUAAGUCUGAUGUGAAAGCCCACGGCUCAACCGUGGAGGGUCAUUGGAAACUGGAAAACAUGAGUGCAGAAGAGGAAAGUGGAAUUCCAUGUGUAGCGGUGAAAUGCGCAGAGAUAUGGAGGAACACCAGUGGCGAAGGCGACUUUCUGGUCUGUAACUGACGCUGAUGUGCGAAAGCGUGGGGAUCAAACAGGAUUAGAUACCCUGGUAGUCCACGCCGUAAACGAUGAGUGCUAAGUGUUAGGGGGGUUUCCGCCCCUUAGUGCUGCAGCUAACGCAUUAAGCACUCCGCCUGGGGAGUACGACCGCAAGGUUGAAACUCAAAGGAAUUGACGGGGACCCGCACAAGCGGUGGAGCAUGUGGUUUAAUUCGAAGCAACGCGAAGAACCUUACCAAAUCUUGACAUCCUUUGACAACUCUAGAGAUAGAGCCUUCCCCUUCGGGGGACAAAGUGACAGGUGGUGCAUGGUUGUCGUCAGCUCGUGUCGUGAGAUGUUGGGUUAAGUCCCGCAACGAGCGCAACCCUUAAGCUUAGUUGCCAUCAUUAAGUUGGGCACUCUAAGUUGACUGCCGGUGACAAACCGGAGGAAGGUGGGGAUGACGUCAAAUCAUCAUGCCCCUUAUGAUUUGGGCUACACACGUGCUACAAUGGACAAUACAAAGGGCAGCGAAACCGCGAGGUCAAGCAAAUCCCAUAAAGUUGUUCUCAGUUCGGAUUGUAGUCUGCAACUCGACUACAUGAAGCUGGAAUCGCUAGUAAUCGUAGAUCAGCAUGCUACGGUGAAUACGUUCCCGGGUCU
This 1373-nucleotide ribosomal RNA is filed under the name uncultured bacterium. Its description in RNAcentral is "bacterial SSU rRNA". It matches the Rfam family "Bacterial small subunit ribosomal RNA", at positions 28 to 1381 of the family's 1533-position model. The record is from RNAcentral.